This 485-nucleotide ribosomal RNA is filed under the name uncultured bacterium. Its description in RNAcentral is "bacterial SSU rRNA". It matches the Rfam family "Bacterial small subunit ribosomal RNA", at positions 33 to 507 of the family's 1533-position model. The record is from RNAcentral.
GACGACGCUGGCGGCGUGGAUUAGGCAUGCAAGUCGAACGGUAUCAUCCUUUCGGGGGUGAGAGAGUGGCGAACUGGUGAGUAACACGUAGGUUAUCUACCCUCAAGACGGGGACAACCCAGGGAAACUUGGGCUAAUACCGGAUGUGAGCAACUUUUAGUGUUUGAAAGGUGGCGUAAGCUGUCGCUUGGGGAUGAGCCUGCGUCCUAUUAGUUAGUUGGUGAGGUAACGGCUCACCUAGGCAAUGAUAGGUAGGCGGCCUUAACGGGCGGUCGCCCACACUGGGAUUGAGAUACGGCCCAGACUCCUACGGGAGGCAGCAGUCGAGAAUAGUCUACAAUGGUCGGAAGACUGAUAGUGCGACGCCGCGUGAACGAUGAAUCCCUUCGGGGUGUAAAGUUCUUUUAUAUGUGAGCAGUGCUUCUUAUAUUAACAGUAUGGGGAGAGAGAUAUUAGCAUAUGAAUAAGCAACGGCUAACUCCGUG